Molecule: long non-coding RNA, 2073 nt
Filed under: Phoenix dactylifera (date palm)
Lineage: Eukaryota; Viridiplantae; Streptophyta; Magnoliopsida; Arecales; Arecaceae
Description: long non-coding RNA (PDAC_LNC003663)
Source: RNAcentral
GGACUUUUACAAUCUAAAUUUUUAUAGACUCCUUCUCUAACAAGGAUUCCUACUUGGACUAGGACUCCGACUUGAACUAGGACUCCUACUUGAUAUGGACUCUUUUAAUUCAAACUAUUGACUAAAUCAAAUAGCAAGAAAGAGCUCACACUCGACUUUGGACUCCUUAUGGCGCAUGGACUAGAGUCCAAGUUGGCUAGAAUUCCUCCCACAAUAACAAAAUGAACUAAACUCCAACCAAUCUAGGACUCCUCAAUGCCAUGGACUCAAUUUGAUUUUGGGCGUUGGAUACUUGGGCUCAAAGGAGACUUGACACACCCAACAAAUGGACUAAAUUUAACAUUGAGCACGCCCAAUGUUGAACCUAAACUCCUUAAUUCAAGACUGCUAAUCAACUUGGACUCUUUAAUUGACAUAUGACCAAUAGUCCAAAUUAGUUAGGACUCUUUCACAUGACACAUGGACUUAUUACAAAGACUCCAAAUAAAUUAGGACUCUUUAAUACCAUUAGAACUCAAUGUAAUUAGGCGUUGAAAUACUAGAACCCAAUGUAACUAGGUGUUGAAAAUCUUGGACCUAAUGUGUUCUGGUGCUAAAACUCUUAGAAUUCAAUGUAAUUUGGUGCUCACCCAAGGAAGAGACUCAAUCUCCACGCACGCCCCAGGCUUGGGCUCAUGCUUAUGCAUCAAGAAGAAGAAGGGGGCCAACAUGACUAAAAAGUAAUUGUAAUCAUUGUGGGAUCAACAAAUAUAUCAAGAAGAAAUUUUGGAAACUUUAUCCCAAGUUGCAAUUGAAGGGCAAGAAGUCAAAGAAAAAGGAUCCCAAGAAAAAACGGAAGGAGGUUCUUAACAUGAUCGAAGAUGAGGAGCUACCUAAGCUAGAGUAAGUAGAUUCAAAGUUGAGUUUGAUGACAAGAAAAUUUAAGACAAUGACUAAGGUAGACCUAGAGGCGCGAAAAAAGCUCUUCUACUUGAAGAUCUAGGUAAAGCAUAGUAUCUAUAACAACCUAGGAUCUUACCUAAAAAAGGCUAGCCAAAAGAUAUUUUUUUAGGUUUUUAGGCUUUGUAUAAGUAUCCAAGAUCUACGCAGUGCAAAACAAAUAUAGCACUAAACAUAUGCCUGCAUGGUUCCUUACAUACUUUUAUUUAAGCUCUAGCAUUCUUGUCAAGCUAAAGGUCCAAAUUUGAUUGCAAAUCUAAUCAAUUUUAAUUAUAAACACCAUGAUCAACUUUUAGUUUGCCCGAAAUAUAUCUAUGCUACAAUAUCUCCUAGUCCACAUGAACCAUGGAUUGAGUUUGCUCUAAUACUAUUUUUAACAAUCCAAGACCUCAUGCAAAAAGGCUAACGAGAAAGUGUCAUUUUGGAUUCCUUGGCUCUAUAUAUGUAUCCAAGAUCUACUCAAUGCGUAAUCGAUAUGGAACUAAACACAUUCCUCGCAUAGGUCUUCACACACCCUUGCAACUCCGAGAGGAUCUAAAAUAUCUGAAGUUCCUAAUGCAAAUUGUUGAUCGACAAGAUCUGGCAUUAUGAUGAUGUGUUAAUUUGAAUGUUAAAAUAUAAUGGAGUAAUUCUGUGCGAGUGGCUACUUGAGAGUUGGAGGAGGAGAUGAGGUAUAAGUAUCAUCAAUCAUUUGAGAAUUUUGGUAUGCUAAUUUUGAGGGUAAAAUUUAGUAGGGGGGGAGGUGGGGGGCGGAGGAGGAGGAUAUAAGACCUAGGCCCCCAUCCUAGCUUAUCAUCAAGCUUGUCUAUGAAGGUGGUGCUCUUUUCCCAUAUCUAAGAUCAAUAAUAAGAGACCUCCUUUGUUGCUCGUGCUAUCCUGUGGAUGGCUCCCUGCUCCACCACCUCAGCUCUUGACCCAAAUUGUGCAUUUCCUUCUCCUCCUCCUACUCAUUUGUCUCCUCUCCCAUCUUUCUUCUAUAUUCUCCUCAUCUUCACAGUCUAGCAUCACCAACUCAUGCCAUCAUCGCACUAUUGUUCAAUGGCCUCUAUAGCUUCCAUUUCUCUAUCUCUUCCUCUUUCUCUCUCUCCCUCUCUCCUUCUCUCUCUUCUUGUGUGUGGGUGUGGAGGAAGUAGG